UUUUUAGAGAGUUUGAUCCUGGCUCAGGAUGAACGCUGGCGGCGUGCCUAACACAUGCAAGUCGAACGGAACUAUUUUGGAAACUCCUUCGGGAGCGGAAUCUUUAGU
RNAcentral lists this ribosomal RNA (108 nucleotides) under Butyricicoccus sp. OF13-6. RNAcentral's name for it is "partial 16S ribosomal RNA". It matches the Rfam family "Bacterial small subunit ribosomal RNA", at positions 1 to 111 of the family's 1533-position model. The record is from RNAcentral. Lineage: Bacteria; Bacillati; Bacillota; Clostridia; Eubacteriales; Butyricicoccaceae.